RNAcentral lists this ribosomal RNA (621 nucleotides) under uncultured bacterium. Its description in RNAcentral is "bacterial SSU rRNA". It matches the Rfam family "Bacterial small subunit ribosomal RNA", at positions 54 to 664 of the family's 1533-position model. The record is from RNAcentral.
CAUGCAAGUCGAGGGGCAGCGGGAUUGAAGCUUGCUUCAAUUGCCGGCGACCGGCGCACGGGUGAGUAACGCGUAUCCAACCUUCCGUACACUCAGGGAUAGCCUUUCGAAAGAAAGAUUAAUACCUGAUGGUAUGAUGAGAUUGCAUGAUAGCAUCAUUAAAGAUUUAUCGGUGUACGAUGGGGAUGCGUUCCAUUAGGUAGUAGGCGGGGUAACGGCCCACCUAGCCGACGAUGGAUAGGGGUUCUGAGAGGAAGGUCCCCCACAUUGGAACUGAGACACGGUCCAAACUCCUACGGGAGGCAGCAGUGAGGAAUAUUGGUCAAUGGACGAGAGUCUGAACCAGCCAAGUAGCGUGAAGGAUGAAGGUCCUACGGAUUGUAAACUUCUUUUAUAAGGGAAUAAACCCUCCCACGUGUGGGAGCUUGUAUGUACCUUAUGAAUAAGCAUCGGCUAACUCCGUGCCAGCAGCCGCGGUAAUACGGAGGAUGCGAGCGUUAUCCGGAUUUAUUGGGUUUAAAGGGAGCGCAGACGGGUCGUUAAGUCAGCUGUGAAAGUUUGGGGCUCAACCUUAAAAUUGCAGUUGAUACUGGCGUCCUUGAGUGCGGUUGAGGUGUGCGG